UGGGGGAUAUUGCACAAUGGGGGGAACCCUGAUGCAGCGACGCCGCGUGAGCGAAGAAGUACCUCGGUAUGUAAAGCUCUAUCAGCAGGGAAGAAAAUGACGGUACCUGACUAAGAAGCCCCGGCUAAAUACGUGCCAGCAGCCGCGGUAAUACGUAUGGGGCAAGCGUUAUCCGGAUUUACUGGGUGUAAAGGGAGCGCAGGCGGCCUGCCAAGUCUGGUGUGAAAACCCGGGGCUCAACCCCGGGCCUGCAUUGGAAACUGGCGGGCUGGAGUGUCGGAGGGGCAGGCGGAAUUCCUAGUGUAGCGGUGAAAUGCGUAGAUAUUAGGAGGAACACCGGUGGCGAAGGCGGCCUGCUGGACGAUGACUGACGCUGAGGCUCGAAAGCGUGGGGAGCAAA
RNAcentral lists this ribosomal RNA (400 nucleotides) under uncultured bacterium. Its description in RNAcentral is "bacterial SSU rRNA". It matches the Rfam family "Bacterial small subunit ribosomal RNA", at positions 355 to 772 of the family's 1533-position model. The record is from RNAcentral.